GAUAAACGUUUGCGGCGUGCCUGAUGCAUGCAAGUCGAACGCCCUGAUUUUUCGCAAGAUUGAUCAGGGAGUGGCGAACGGCUGAGUAACGCGUAAGUGACCUGUCCCUAAGUGGGGGAUAACUUGCCGAAAGGCAGGCUAAUACCGCAUGUGCUGGUAAGCGUAAGGCUUAUCAGUAAAGCUUUAGUGCUUGGGGAGGGGCUUGCGUCUGAUUAGCUAGUUGGUAGGGUAAUAGCCUACCAAGGCGAUGAUCAGUAGCUGGUCUGAGAGGACAACCAGCCAGACGGGGACUGAGAUACGGCCCUGACUCCUACGGGAGGCAG
This 323-nucleotide ribosomal RNA is filed under the name uncultured Chloroflexota bacterium. RNAcentral describes it as "bacterial SSU rRNA". It matches the Rfam family "Bacterial small subunit ribosomal RNA", at positions 28 to 351 of the family's 1533-position model. The record is from RNAcentral. Lineage: Bacteria; Bacillati; Chloroflexota.